GUACCGGACACGGGGUGCCCCCCCUCGGGGGCUGAGAUCACACCCGUCGAACCUGAACCAGUUCGUACUGGCGGAGGGAUGUCUUCCAUGCCUUUG
RNAcentral lists this non-coding RNA (96 nucleotides) under Streptomyces nodosus. RNAcentral describes it as "TPP sequence". It matches the Rfam family "TPP riboswitch aptamer (THI element)". From Rfam's summary of the family: Vitamin B(1) in its active form thiamin pyrophosphate (TPP) is an essential coenzyme that is synthesised by coupling of pyrimidine and thiazole moieties in bacteria. The previously detected thiamin-regulatory element, thi box was extended, resulting in a new, highly conserved RNA secondary structure, the THI element, which is widely distributed in eubacteria and also occurs in some archaea. Lineage: Bacteria; Bacillati; Actinomycetota; Actinomycetes; Kitasatosporales; Streptomycetaceae. The record is from Rfam by way of RNAcentral.